CCCUUAGAUGUUCUGGGCAGCCCGCGCACUACAUUGGCACUAGCAAAGAGAUCCUAGAUUGAAUUCUUUGGGGUAUUCUUCUAAAUGGUGUCGUGACUGGGAUAAAUCCUUGUAAUUAUUGGUUUUGAACGAGGAAUUCCUUGUAAUCGCGGUUUAUCAGCUCGCGUUGAAUGCGUCCCUGCCCUUUGUACACACCGCCCGUCGCUCCUACCGAUGGAUCGUCCGGUGAAGCUCACGGAGUGACUGUUCACGCAACGGUUUACGAAGUGAAAUGGACCUCACGAUUUAGAGGAAGGAGAAGUCGUAACA
This 309-nucleotide ribosomal RNA is filed under the name uncultured eukaryote. RNAcentral describes it as "partial 18S ribosomal RNA". It matches the Rfam family "Eukaryotic small subunit ribosomal RNA", at positions 1470 to 1796 of the family's 1831-position model. The record is from RNAcentral.